RNAcentral lists this long non-coding RNA (4022 nucleotides) under Podarcis lilfordi (Lilford's wall lizard). The record is from RNAcentral. Lineage: Eukaryota; Metazoa; Chordata; Lepidosauria; Squamata; Lacertidae.
AUUAAGCCUUAAACAUCUAACUUGCAGAUGAUGGAUGUACUAUUAUUCUUAGUAAAAUGUAGCCCAUCUGCCUUAGUUUCCAGCAUCUAGUUGCUCACAUUAGAAAGUUAUAUGAAAUUGCAUUCAAGUUUUGUUUUGGUUUCUUAAAUGAAAUAAAAAUCAUCGCUGGCCAUUACUUUCCGCAAACCCAAAAUAAAACUAAGGAACUCACUUCCCACAGGAGGCAGUGAUGCCUCCCAACUUGGAAGGCUUUAAAAAAGGACUGGACACAUUCAUGGAAGAGAGCACUAUUGCUGCUCUGUCUCCACAGUUGGCUGCAGCAAUAAUGAUGAUGAUGAUAAUAAUAAUAAUAAUAAUAAUAAUAAUAAUAAUAAUAAUUUAUUUAUACCCCGCCCAUCUGGCUGAGUUUCCCCAGCCACUCUGGGUGGCUCCCAAUCAAAUGAUUAAAAACAGUACAGUGGUACCUUGGGCUACAUACGCUUCAGGUUACAUACGCUUCAGGUUACAUAUGCUUCAGGUUACAGACUCCACUAACCCAGAAAUAGUGCUUCAGGUUAUGAACUUUGCUUCAGGAUAAGAACAGAAAUUGGGCUCCAGCGGCGCAGCGGCAGCAGGAAGGCCCCAUUAGCUAACGUGGUGCUUCAGGUUAAGAACGGUUUCAGGUUAAGUACGGACCUCCGGAACAAAUUAAGUACUUAACUUGAGGUUCCACUGUUCAGCAUUAAAUAUUAUAAACUUCCCUAAACAGGGCUCCCUUCAGAUGUCUUUUAAAGAUAGAAUAGCUGCUUAUUUCCUUCACAUCUGAAGGGAGGGUGUUCCACAGGGCAGGCGCCACUACUGAGAAGGCCCUCUGCCUUGUUCCCUGUAACCUCACUUCUCACAAUGAGGGAACCGCCAGAAGGCCCUCAGAGCUGGACCUCAGUGUCUGGGCAGAACGAUGGGGGUGGAGAUGCUCCUUCAGGUAUACAGGACCGAGGUCGUUUAGGGCUUUCAAGGUCAGCACCAACACUUUGAAUUGUGCUUGGAAACGUACUGGUUUCAAUGCUUCUGAAUACCAGUCGCUAGAAACCACAGGAAGAGAGAGAGCUCUUAAGCUCAAAUCCUGAUUGCUGGUUUCCCACAGGUAUCUGCUUGGCCACUGUGAGAACAGGAUGCUGGACGAGACAGUCAGGUUAUUAUGUUAUUAGAAGGGUUUCCUGGUUCUAAACUGAGCAACUCACAUCAACUUCAUUUUUCUAGCAAAGUAUUUCACCCUCUCAUGCUGCCCAGGGUGGGCGCACUCCCGAGGGGUAUGGGGCGUUGAGGGUGCCCUCCCAGGCGUGAAAUAGCCACUUGGGUGCAUGGAACGGUGCCCACACCCUGCAGCCAGGUGCGGAGUGAGCUGCCGAUGGGGGACAUUUGGCGCCCCACCCGCCCGUGACUCCCAAGUCUCCCCCAGCUUUCAAAACAAUGUCACCCCCCUCAGCGAAGACACCCGGGGUGGACUGCCCCCACCGCACACCCCUUCCUCUGCCCCUGGCUGUCUGCCCUUCUGUCCCCUAAGAUCAGAGCACCACACACCAAAUUCACAGCUCCCAGUUGACUAGCAUCUUGCAGUUUCUGUCCUCAGUCUCAGGUAGCACAUCAAAACUUCACCCACUCCACUGAUUGUAAGAGUCUUUUCAUUUUACAGCCAGGUUUCUGUCCUCAGCUGCAGUGGAUAAUGCUGUCCUGAAACCAGUAUUAUUAAUAAUAAUAACACUCAAAAUGGAAAGAAAGAAAGAUGUUAAUGGACCAAGUAAAUUUAUGUGAAACUAGUUUUGGAAAACUGCUACAAUGAUGUAUAUGGAAACUCAGCCAGGGGGAUUUGAGGAAGUCACCAACAAUGAUAACAAAAGUGGAAUUUUUACAGUUAGGAUAUAUGUGUGUUUGUUUGCUUGUUUUUUGAUGUUUUCUUUUUAUGUUUGUGGAUAUGUUUGUUAUAAAUUUGGAAAACUAAUAUUUUUUGGGGAUGAUGAUAAUAACAACAACAACAACCUAAAUUCAGCUAACAGUUUGCUUUGGUACAUGGGAAAGGGUACAGACUAUCUUGCCUUUGCAUAAACAUGAAUAAGACCAAAAGGCAGACUUCGAUUGGCAUAUCUAGAUCCUGGGAGGAGGCGGGAAGUUCUGAGGUUGUGUAUAUUUCUGUGGUUUUGUCUAAUACAUUGCAGAGGGAGGGAGGGAGGGAGGGAGAGAGAUUUCAUUCUAUCAAUGUUCAAUUGUUUUUAAAUAUUUUUUGGUAUGUCUUAAACAUUUCUUAUUUUUAGCUGCAAGUCAUCUUGAGGGAAAAUGGUGGGGUUUAAAUAAAUAUAUAUUAAGACAUCCAAACUGGAGUCCCAGAUUUUUGAAGCUAAAACUGGAUAUGCACAAAGGAAAAUAACCUGCAGAUACUGAAACUGGCCCUGGGUUUGACACAACAGGAAAUUGCUGCUUGUUGUGGAUGAAUGUUUUUCUGCACUGCCCACAGCUGUUUACUCUUGUCUUGUAAAUAAUCCCUUAGGUUUUGCAUUGCUUGGUGCUGUUUGCCUUGCUUAACAGUGUUUUCAACUCUGCAGUUUCUGUCUUUUCAUUAUUUGGUCAAUCCAUCAGGCCACCAGUGAAGGUUUCUAAAGUCAUGUUUCUUUUUAUCUGCAUCACACCCACAGGGAAAGCUUCAUGGAACUUGAUUAGAGAGACGCAUGAGUAGUAGAGCUACUUCCCUCGCAAGGUUCUGUUUCUUCUUGGGUUUGUCCACAGUUCCUUUAGGCUUAAUCUCCUCUCCUCACUUGGAGCUUUAUGUGGGGCUUUGCCUGAGAUACAAUUAUUGCCUAUGUCUUGGAGAAAAAGGAAAAUGAAGAGAAAAGUCUCUGUAUGGAAUCCUUCUAAGCCGCAGAAGAAUUUCUGAGGGAAGCCAUUCAAUUUGUUGCAUAUGUAAGAAUGGCAAGCUGGCCAGACUUACAUUCUAAACCAGGCAACAGAGAGUUCUGCAACAUCAGUAGUUGGCUUGGAAGUCAUGGUGCCUCCAGCUACUCUGAGGUCACAAUGGCCCACAGCUACCAGCCAGUCAUUGGGCAGAGGAAGCAUAGGAGAGAACAGGUUAGAAACAGUAACAUAUUAUCUCUGGAUGCCAAGGCUGGGAGAGUGGGGAAAGGAAGCAACAGUUUAGCUGGGACUUGUGAGAGAGAAGAAAGCAAGUCUGGAGUUGGAAACAGUGGCAUAACAUGGUUUGCUAGUGCCUGGGUCCUUACGGAGAGGGGUAUUGGGAGGGAGGGGGACCAAGAAAAUGCAUGCACAUUGAACUGCCUAAUGGCAUCCGCAUCACCCAGGAGAUCGCAGCCACAGAGAUUUUUUUUAAAAAGAGUAGUUUCAUUGUCUAGAGAGGUCACUUCCUGGUUCGCAUGGAGAAACCAUUUUCAAUGGAGCCCAGCAAUAGAAGCACACAGCUGUAUUGAGGCAGUACCUCAAUUUUGUGCCUGGGGCAACCACCCCGUACCUCAUGCCACUGGCUGGAAAGAAGUGUGCUGGAAGGGGGAAAGGAGGGUUAGAAGGCACUAUACAGAGAUGUUAAGGAACGUGGUGUGUCCUGACUCUUGGCCUUAUGAAGGCUUUGCAACAAAAAAGCUUAAGAAAUCUGGCCACGUGGAACAAGGGUCUGGGGGGGGGGAAUGUGCUGCCUGUCAUACUCUCCCCUCUCCAAGCCCACCCCACUUAGCAGUAAGAACAUAGUUUAAGUCUACUCACCAAUCUCCUUUUGCUUGGUAAAUUAUCUCUCAACUGUUCCUCUUUGCCUAUAGGAUUCAUAGCUCUGGGUUUCCAGUUUGCUGAAGAUCUGCCACUGUCAGUAAAAAUUAUUGUUAAGUGACAUCAUUUAUGAUAUCAAAGAAAGAAACAAACAAAAAGCACAGAUUUGCAUAUUUUUCUUAACAAUGACUCCCAUGAACUCAGAGAAGGAAUAGUAUUAAAACUGGAAAUGUUACUAUUGCCACAAUGGCAUAUUAAUUUGGAGGCCUCUUCGUAAUCAA